ACUGAGACACGGCCCAGACUCCUAACGGGAGGCAGCAGUGGGGGAAUAUUGCGCAAUGGGCGGAAAGCCUGAAGCGAGCGACGCCGCGUGGGGGAUGACGGCCUUCGGGUUGUAAACCUCUUUCGCCAGGGACGAAGAGCAAUUGACGGUACCUGGAGAAGAACGACCGGCCAACUACGUGCCACGAGCCGCGGUAACACGUAGGGUGCGAGCGUUGUCCGGAAUUAUUGGGCGUAAAGAGCUCGUAGGCGGUGUGUCGCGUCGGCCGUGAAAACUUGGGGCUUAACUCUGAGCGUGCGGUCGAUACGGGCAUCACUUGAGUUCGGCAGGGGAGACUGGAAUUCCUGGUGUAGCGGUGAAAUGCGCAGAGAUCAGGAGGAAGACCGGUGGCGAAGGCGGGCUCUGGGCCGAUACUGACGCUGAGGAGCGAAAGCGUGGGGAGCGAACAGGAUUAGAUACCCUGGUAGUCCACGCCGUAAACGUUGGGCGCUAGGUGUGGGGACCAUU
RNAcentral lists this ribosomal RNA (507 nucleotides) under Pseudonocardia sp. ROR40. RNAcentral's name for it is "bacterial SSU rRNA". It matches the Rfam family "Bacterial small subunit ribosomal RNA", at positions 318 to 833 of the family's 1533-position model. The record is from RNAcentral. Lineage: Bacteria; Bacillati; Actinomycetota; Actinomycetes; Pseudonocardiales; Pseudonocardiaceae.